This is a non-coding RNA of Pelobates cultripes (western spadefoot toad), 412 nucleotides long. The record is from the annotation of a GenBank genome assembly. NCBI's taxonomy places the organism in Eukaryota, Metazoa, Chordata, Amphibia, Anura, Pelobatidae.
GAACUCUGUCUCUUGUCAGGUGACGGGUGCCAUUGGAAAGACAAUGUCCCAAGAAGACCACUGUGGGCCAGCACCAUUGGAGUUUAGCUUUAGAGGCUUUGCAACCCUCUUCUGCGAGGAAACAGAGAAGAUUCACCGAAUGGCGUUCAGCUGUUGGAAAGUCAUCUGCACAGAGUAGCAAAUCAUCAACAUACUGGAGCAGAACUACAUCUGGGUGAGAUUUCUGCCAGGGUUCUAGUACAGUAGACAUUGCUUUGGCAAAUUGUGUUGGAGAAUUUUGCGCACCUUGAGGCAUAACAGUCCGUGUAUAUUGCUGGCGGUCAUGUGUGAAAGCGAAUAAAUACUGACAUGAGGGAUCCAAAGGCACACUGAAGAAGGAGUUGGCAAGAUCCACCACUGUGAAGAAUUUAGC